GAUGAAGAACGUAGCGAAAUGCGAUAAGUAAUGUGAAUUGCAGAAUUCAGUGAAUCAUCGAAUCUUUGAACGCACAUUGCGCCCCUUGGUAUUCCAUGGGGCAUGCCUGUUCGAGCGUCAUUUGUACCUUCAAGCUCUGCUUGGUGUUGGGUGUUUGUCUCGCCUCUGCGUGUAGACUCGCCUCAAAACAAUUGGCAGCCGGCGUAUCGAUUUCGGAGCGCAGUACAUCUCGCGCUUUGCACUCAUAACGACGACGUCCAAAAGUACAUUUUUACACUCUUGACCUCGGAUCAGGUAGGGAUACCCGCUGAACUUAAGCAUAUCAAUAAGCGGAGGA
RNAcentral lists this unclassified non-coding RNA (337 nucleotides) under soil metagenome. RNAcentral's name for it is "partial contains 5.8S ribosomal RNA, internal transcribed spacer 2, and large subunit ribosomal RNA". The stretch from base 1 to 120 matches the Rfam family "5.8S ribosomal RNA", at positions 35 to 154 of the family's 154-position model. The record is from RNAcentral.